Molecule: long non-coding RNA, 733 nt
Filed under: Homo sapiens (human)
Lineage: Eukaryota; Metazoa; Chordata; Mammalia; Primates; Hominidae
Description: non-protein coding CASC6:1
Source: RNAcentral
CAUGCGCCACCAUGCCUGGCUAAUUUUGUAUUUUUAGUAGAGAUGGGAUUUCUCCAUGUUGGUCGGGCUGGUUUCAAACUCCCAACCUCAGGUGGUCCGCCUGCCUCAGCCUCCCAAAUUAAAUGCCUUAAAAAAUGUUCACAUUAUUUAACCAAAAGACACAACAUCAUUUGGUAAUUAAAAAUUUAUUCAAUUUUUCUUGACAAUAUUUGUUAAACACUUACUACAUGCUUGGUACUAUGCUAAUUGCUAAAGAGUCAAUGAUUUUGAAAACAAGUGCUCAACGUUUUGGGGGAGAAUUUUUAUUGAUUAGCUGCCAUGAAAUCACUCAUCAUACUUCUGGUAAGCUGCCAUCUGAAGAGGCAUGAAAAAGUUCCGUGGUGUCUGCUGAGUGUUCUCGGUUAAUCCAGUCCAAAUUAAUUCCCACCCAUACUUUCUUACUUUAUAUUUUACACAGUGUUCACCCUUAGAGAUGACAAACACAGCUGAUAAAAACUUAGUAUAAAGGCUGAAUCAUGAGGCCAGGAAGUUAAAAGAAGCAGGUAUCUUUGAGUAAGAUAUUUUCAUCCUCAAAUCAAGUCUACCAGGCACAUCAAGAAUAUUUGAUAUCAGCAUCAUAAUUUUGCGUUUUUGAAUAAACUUUGUAAUUAUAUUACUUGUAAUACAUUUUCCAAAGAAGAAAACUAAACACUGCCAAAUGGUAAGAUAAUAAUAAUAAAAGGUACAAUCCUAU